UUUGUUUACGCGCGAGUCGAAUAUUUGCUUGCAAUUUUCUGCGGUGAGAAAGGAAAAUACGUGUUUAUUUCAUUUGUUUUAAUGGUUUUAAUGUUUAAUUUGUUUUGUUCAAGAAAGAAAAUUAGCACAGUGAGACAAACAGCUCGGCACUUCGUCAUUGAAAUGUUUAAAAAUCAAGACAACCGGCUAGAUACUUUUCGUCGCGUUUGUGAUGAAAUUGGGGAAGAGCGCAGCUAUAACAACAAAGCAGAAUUGCUGAAAGUGUUCUUUCAAAAAGGUGCUGAUCGUAAAGGUUUUAAAGGCGAUGUGUUGCUUUGGGUACAAAUGUUAAUACCCGGUGCCAGUCACCGGGUGUACAACCUGCAAAACAAGCAAAUGGUCAAGUUGUUCUCAAGGAUAUUCUCUUCUGAUAUUCAAGACAUGCAGCGGGAUUUGGAACAAGAUGGCGACGUUUCCGAAACAUUGUCGAAGUAUUUUGAGACUUCACAAAAAAUAAAACCGCAAGAAGAAAGUUCGCUCUAUCUACAAGAAGUUGAAGAAUUUCUGAUAAAAUUGGAACAGCGUACCAAAGAAGAUGAACAAACAGAUUUGUUGCGACAAUUGUGCAAGCAAGCAACUGCUUUAGAUCUGAGAAUGGUGAUACGUCUAAUCAAGCAAGAUUUGCGUAUAAAUGCAGGAGCGCGGCAUAUACUUGAUGCAUUUGGACCACUUGCCUAUCCCGCCUACCAAUCUUCCCGGGACUUGGGUGCUGUUGUGAAGCAAUUCGCUUCCACAGGAAAGCAGAAACAGUUGGUGUCGUCGCCUCUUAAAGUCACAAAAAAAAAAAUAAAUUGUCCAACUAGGUUACAGGUAAAAUUGGUCAGGUGCAAGUAAUGACGCCCAUUUCCCCUAUGUUAGCUAACGCCUGUAAAUCGGUUGAAGAAGCAUUCAAGAAAUGCCCAAGCGGUUUAUACACUGAAAUCAAAUAUGAUGGGGAGCGCGUACAGAUACACAAACGAGGGACCGAAUUCAAAUUUUUUAGUCGUAAUCUAAAACCCGUCAUGGAUCAUAAAAUCAAACGUUUCCACGAACUUAUCCCAAAGGUGAAUUCUCACAACUUUGCUCUCGAUUUUCGCAAGAUUCGAAAUG
RNAcentral lists this unclassified non-coding RNA (1128 nucleotides) under Rhagoletis pomonella (apple maggot). Its description in RNAcentral is "dNA ligase 3-like, transcript variant X1". The record is from RNAcentral. Lineage: Eukaryota; Metazoa; Arthropoda; Insecta; Diptera; Tephritidae.